GAUGAACGCUGGCGGCGUGCCUAAUACAUGCAAGUCGAGCGAACAGAUGAGGAGCUUGCUCCUCUGACGUUAGCGGCGGACGGGUGAGUAACACGUGGAUAACCUACCUAUAAGACUGGGAUAACUUCGGGAAACCGGAGCUAAUACCGGAUAAUAUAUUGAACCGCAUGGUUCAAUAGUGAAAGACGGUUUUGCUGUCACUUAUAGAUGGAUCCGCGCCGCAUUAGCUAGUUGGUAAGGUAACGGCUUACCAAGGCAACGAUGCGUAGCCGACCUGAGAGGGUGAUCGGCCACACUGGAACUGAGACACGGUCCAGACUCCUACGGGAGGCAGCAGUAGGGAAUCUUCCGCAAUGGGCGAAAGCCUGACGGAGCAACGCCGCGUGAGUGAUGAAGGGCUUCGGAUCGUAAAACUCUGUUAUUAGGGAAGAACAAAUGUGUAAGUAACUAUGCACGUCUUGACGGUACCUAAUCAGAAAACCACGGCUAACUACGU
Molecule: ribosomal RNA, 496 nt
Filed under: uncultured bacterium
Lineage: Bacteria
Description: partial 16S ribosomal RNA
Rfam family: Bacterial small subunit ribosomal RNA
Source: RNAcentral